Sapajus apella (tufted capuchin) is the source of this 1626-nucleotide RNA transcript. It is a transcript of the gene named cuticle collagen 1-like, with no coding region annotated. NCBI's taxonomy places the organism in Eukaryota, Metazoa, Chordata, Mammalia, Primates, Cebidae. The record is from RefSeq and is a predicted model, not a curated record. The transcript has a single exon.
CGUCCCCAGGCCUGGCUCCCCGAGUAGCUUCCCUGUGCUGAUCAUCCGUCCGGGUGCAUUUCUCAGUGCCGGGGGCCUUGGGUGGGGGCCAGGCCUCAAAUAUGCAGAGGGACCCGGUGGGCUACAUCCCCAUCAGCCCUGGCCCCUGGAAUGAGUCAGGGCCCAGGGGAGAAUGGAGCCAAUCAGGGGCACCUGGACCCCCUGCCUGCCAUGUGGCAUGGCCGUCACUCACUCCCCACCCCUGCCCUACUCCUAAGGGUAGAAAAUUCCAGGGUUCCACGCCACUGACAGCUCAGCCACUCGAGGCCCCUGGCAGCUGCCCGCCCCAAACCCGCCCUGGAGCAGAAAGUGCCUUUAUCUCAGCCGUCCGCAGGCUGCUCGGCCAGGUGUGGGGACAGGCUGGAAUGAGGGAGGCGUCUUCAUUUCCCCGCUCCCCCCACACCACCCCUCCCAUAGGGCUGCAGGUGCUGCUGAUGUGCUGGGAUCUGACUGAGGAUAAAAAGGAAGGAAAGACGACCCCCACCCCCUUGCCACCCAUUUUUGAAAAGGUCCAAGCGAGUGAGUCUGGUGGAGAGCCUGAGGGAGGGAGCCAUGGAAGGUGCCAGAAGGAAGGUUGGCGGGGGCACGUGUGGGCUGUGGCUUGGGGUGGUCAUAGUGGCCUGAGCUGCCCAGUGCCUGCCCCACCCAAGUGACCAGGGAAGUGUGUGUGUGUCCAUGUGUGUGUCCGUCCGUCCGUACAGUGUCUGGUUUGGCCCAAGACUGGGCUGUGGUUACAUUAGUGCCCAGCCAGCCACCCCCGCCACUCACCCCUCCUGGCCCAGGCCUUGCUGACUCUGUGACCUGGGUGGGUUGGAGGCCUGGUGAGCCUGACUCCUUGUCCUACCUGGGCCUGGGGCCCUCCCACUAGAGCCCACGGUAAUGACCCCCUAGGAAGGAGAGGCAGGGUCAGGGCUGCAUAGUCCACAGUGAGCUGAAGAGCAAGGUUUGUGGCAGCAUGGCCUGGCCCCUCACCUUCCAUCCCCAGGAGGGGACCCAUGGGGGCUGCCUUUGUGGUGCACAGCAGACCAAAGUCCCCUCCUGCUUCCUGUUCCCUGUCUCACUCCUGGGGAGAAGGAGGGGCCUGAUGGGACUCCACAUGGGUGCGCCUAUCACUGGGUGCAUCUGCAGGUCCCAGGCUGGCUGCUCGCUGCCAGAAGAAGGGCAAUGGGAAGGAGUGUGAGUGUGCCUGGAAGUCGGGGCAUUGGGUGUCUGACUCCCUCCCCAUCCAAGAGAGGAAGGACUCCCCACCAGCCUCAUUGGCGGGACAGUUUACUUGCCAACUUGCCAUGUUUUUGCCAAAACCAAGAUUUUGAAGGAAAUGAGUGGCACCAGGCCAUGUGGCCCUCCCAGCCUCAGUGUCACUUGGUGGCAGGGUGGGGUGGGGGGUGGGCGGUAGCAUCCCAGCCUUGAGAUGCUUCACUGUCCUUCUCUGUAACCAGACCUUGAAAAUUGUUCGUUUCAUCAGGCUCUGAUCCUCAACGGCCUUUUGCUACGUGCCUCCCAAGAAAUUUGUCUCUUUUUGUAUAAACUACAAAAUGUUGAAAAUGUAUUUCCUGAAAUAAAUGUUUCAAAUGCAGAAACCCAGAA